Non-coding RNA from Potamilus streckersoni, 74 nucleotides. The record is from the annotation of a GenBank genome assembly. Lineage: Eukaryota; Metazoa; Mollusca; Bivalvia; Unionida; Unionidae.
UCGUCUGUGGCCUAGUGGUAGGAGCAUCUGCCUCGAAUGCGGCAAACGAUGGGUUCGAUCCCACCCCGAGUGAU